Molecule: long non-coding RNA, 821 nt
Organism: Canis lupus familiaris (dog)
Lineage: Eukaryota; Metazoa; Chordata; Mammalia; Carnivora; Canidae
Exons: 3
Source: RefSeq, a predicted model, not a curated record
CAACUGGAACAAGUUUAUUAACCUCUCUGAGCUUCAUGUCCUUUUUUACAAAGUAGGUACAAUUAGACUUGCCUUCAGAAGCGGUGAUGGGGAUUAUAUGAUGAUAAUCAUGACGAGUGUCAGAGUAGCAUUUUAAGAUGUAUUCCAUCCCCCCUUUACCUUUGGCCUCUUUUGCAACAUAUGUGACCCCAAGGAAAGCUUUUCUCAGCUGUGAAGGGCCUCAAAACUUGCCCCAGCUGGGUCGGGCAGAGAAAGAGAAAGACAAAGCCAGCAGCAACUGCUUCUUCUUAUGUGUAUCUCCAAAAGUUAUCUGCACUUCAUUAUCUGCGCUUACCAUGGGUCGCUCAACACUGUCUACCGGACGUAAGAGUAGUUUCUGCUCUUUCUCCUCAAGUUGCCCAUAGUAGAGAGGAAGCUGUUGACCAUGACCAUGUCUUAUAUUUGUGCAUUCCUGGUCCUAGAGGUUUCUGGCAUAUAAUGAAGACAAAUAAAUGAAAGAAAAUCUCAUCAGAGUGACAUCAAGAACCAUUUUUUUUAAUUGGCAAUCUGAUUCUAAAAACAUAUGAAAAUGCAAAGGACUUAGUAAAGCCAUAACAUCUUUGAAAAGAAAAACAAAGUGGGAAGACAAACACUACCUGGUUUCAAGAUGAAUUACAGAACUAUAAUCAUCAAGAGAAUGUGGUUCUGACAUCAAGACAGACAAAUACAAAAACAGAAGAAAAUAGAAAAUCCAGAAAUAAACCUACACAAAUACGCACAACUAAUUUUCAACAAAGAUGCAAAUGUAAUUCCAAGGAGAAAGGGCAGUCUUCUUAAUAAAU